AAAUCAAAUAAAUCAUGAAAUGCUCAGAUUUUUGUGUCAUGCUUCGCGAAGUUGUUACAACUUCCAUCUGUGAUGGCAUAUACAAAUUUCUAACUACCCAAGUGGAAUGACUCUAUCAGAUAUAGAUACAACAAUUUGUUCAAGGCCGUUUUUGGCUAGCCAAAAUAUGGUACGAUCUACGACUACAGUCAUACCUGCCAUAGUGGCCCUAAUAAAUAUCUAUAGUCACAACAUUACUUAGUCAUAGGUGACCUUUACAGAUAGUGCGAUACCACUCUCGUUAGAGGGUACGCUGUCAUCCACUAUGAGUGAUCCUCUUACAUCUUUCUAGACCAGAUAGGGGAGGGAAAAAAGAUAUCCUGAAGGGUAAGGGUAAUAGAUACCCCUUAGAGAUAAAAAGUCUAGUGAGACACUUAAUGAAAAAUGCAUGUCAAUAUAGA
Molecule: long non-coding RNA, 440 nt
Filed under: Carica papaya (papaya)
Lineage: Eukaryota; Viridiplantae; Streptophyta; Magnoliopsida; Brassicales; Caricaceae
Description: long non-coding RNA (CPAP_LNC006638)
Source: RNAcentral